Myxocyprinus asiaticus (Chinese sucker) is the source of this 1100-nucleotide long non-coding RNA. RefSeq lists it as uncharacterized. NCBI's taxonomy places the organism in Eukaryota, Metazoa, Chordata, Actinopteri, Cypriniformes, Catostomidae. The record is from RefSeq and is a predicted model, not a curated record. The transcript is spliced from 3 exons.
CACCCAGCCCCUGGCUGUCUGACAUCCUUCGUGAACAUCGGACUGACCUCAGGGCAGCUAAGAGGAGAUGGCGGAAAUCUAAAGAUUCAGCAGAUCUAGAACAAGCUGCUGGAUGACAAUAGUGGACACUCCACCGAGACUGCCCUGCUGUCUGUCACUGAGUCACUGAGACAGGCGAAAGCUGAAUCCAGAUCAUCCGUCCUGAUUCUACUGGACAUUUCUGCAGCCUUCGACACAGUCAACCAUCAGAUCUUACUCUCCACCCUCUCUAUGCUGGGCAUCACAGGAACUGUGCUUGACUGGUUUAAUUCCUAUUUCUCAGCCCAACGACACCACAGUGACUGCUCGAAUCUCUGCCUCCCUGGCAGACAUCUCGGCCUGGAUGAAGGAACACCACCUGCAACUCAACCCAGCCAAGACUGAACUCCUUGUCUUUCCAGCCAACCCUGCUGUUGAACACAACAUCACCGUGCAGCUGGGUACAACUACAGUAACGCCUUCCAAAACGGUCAGAAAUCUAGGGGUAACCAUCGAUAAUAAACUAAAUUUCACAGACCACAUCUCAAAGACCGCAAGAUCAUGUAGAUUUACACUCUACAAUAUCAGGAAGAUAAGACCCUUCCUCUCUGAACAUGCCACAUGACUGCUUGUUCAGUCACUUGUCAUAACUAGACUGGACUACUGUAAUGCUCUCAUUGCAGGCCUCCCUGCAUGUGCAAUUAGACCCCUGCAAAUGAUCCAGAAUGCAGCAGCAUGUAUGGUCUUUAAUGAACCAAAGAGAGCGCAUGUUACACCACUCCUUGUCUUUCUCCACUGGCUGCCGGUUGAUGCACGUAUCAAAUUCAAGGCUCUGAUGCUGGCAUACAGAACUGUCACUGGGUCUGCUCCAGCAUACCUAAAAUAAUUUCUGCAGAGCUAAGCGCCCACUAGAAGCCCGCGGUCGGCUAAGGAACGUCACCUUGUUGUACCAACACAAAGAGGCGCCAAAACACUUUCCCGGACAUUCAGCUUCAUCAUACCACAUUGGUGGAAUGAUCUUCCCAACUCCAUCCGACUCACUCUCUGACUUCAAAAAACGACUAAAAAUACAUCUUUUUCAU